Molecule: long non-coding RNA, 1313 nt
Filed under: Canis lupus familiaris (dog)
Lineage: Eukaryota; Metazoa; Chordata; Mammalia; Carnivora; Canidae
Description: lncRNA (ENSCAFG00030025751.1)
Source: RNAcentral
CCCUGGGUGGUCCUGGGAUCAUCAAAUUGCUUUGCCUCAGUCUAUUCAUCUGUAAAAUGGGUUCAAAGAUAUGCCACCUCCUGGCGGGUGGUUGUGGACAAGGAAAGGAGAGAGAAAGAGGCUAGCCUGGAUUGUACCCCACUGUGCUCACUCGAUCAGGGUGUCCUGUUUCUCACAUCGAGGAAACGAGGAAACCCCCAGUUUGUGGACUUGUGAAAUGAAGGGAGAUAGUGGAUACAGACCAAUUCACUCGGAAACUGGUGCUGGCAGCUGGGAUCCUUACAUCAGUUCUGUAAAUAGUAACCCUAAUAAUUACGCCCAGCGCCGGGUCGCAUGAUCCAUCAGUCAGGCCACAUCAGAGCGUGUCAGAGUUUGUCAGGUGUAUCAUUUUUGUUACCUGCAUCAUUCCCCCACACCCCCGGAACAGGUAACACACCCGAAGGGGGUAAUUUCAUGAAGGCACAGCUCCCCUUGAUCCCCUUGAUCCCCUUGAUCCUCCUCUUGAUCCCCUUGGUCAAGCCCCCAGGAGGCCAGAGGGCACAGGUCUGUGCAGUGAUGGAGAGGAUUUGGAGGGACACACGGAAGAUACCUGGCUGCUCAGGCACCUCAAAAUCUGGGACUCCGAUGCCCCCACUUUAUCUCAGGUUUGUGACCAAGAAUGAUAGUUCUGAUCACGGCUGAAGGUAAGUGUGUGAAGGGGAGGACCCGACACAGAAGCCCAUAAGCAAGCUCUAUAGCCACACAGGGUCCCGGCUCUGAGUCUCGCGGAGGACACAGGUGAGCAGACAGGCAGUGGCAAAGUCACCUUGGCAGCGACAUCCCUGGGGGAGCACACACAAGGGCAGUGCUCGCAGCCUUGGGGCAUCCGGGAGUGCUUCCUGGAAGAAGGGAUCCCAACCUGGGAUGGGAAGGAAGAGAGGAGCGAGUCCUGUGAAGAGGACAGAAGAGCAGGGUCUAUGGCCCGCGGGGGGGACACUGUGGCUGUGGAAAGAGAGGGACAGGGGGCUGGAAAGGUGGGCUGGGCCAGGUCACGCAGAGCCUCGGAGGCUGAGGAACUCCGCCUGAGCAAGAGGGAAGCGUGGAAGGCGUGUCCGCAGGCCCCACAUGGAAGUACUCAGACCCACGAAGCAUUUACUGAGCACCUGCUGGGCACAGGUUGCUAUCGGCACUCUACAGAACGCAGGAAGAGUCCAAGAGAUGAGGACUCCCUGGGAGGGUCUAAUCACUCACUGAGGCAGGAAACAGUCUCCCCACAUAGCGCAGAGACGCUCAUCACUGCCUGCACUUCCAGUGGCUGCAGACUGCUGCUCUGA